This 425-nucleotide ribosomal RNA is filed under the name uncultured bacterium. RNAcentral's name for it is "partial 16S ribosomal RNA". It matches the Rfam family "Bacterial small subunit ribosomal RNA", at positions 354 to 796 of the family's 1533-position model. The record is from RNAcentral.
GUUAGGAAUAUUGGACAAUGGGCGCAAGCCUGAUCCAGCCAUGCCGCGUGAACGAUGAAGGCCUUCGGGUUGUAAAGUUCUUUAGCCGAUGAUUAUAAUGACUGUAGUCGGAAAAUAAGCCCCGGCUAACUUCGUGCCAGCAGCCGCGGUAAUACGAAGGGGGCGAGCGUUAUUCGGAAUCACUGGGCGUAAAGCGUGCGUAGGCGGUCUCGUAAGUUAGGAGUGAAAGCCCAGGGCUCAACCUUGGAAUUGCUCUUAAAACUGCAAGGCUAGAAUCUCGGAGAGGAUAGCGGAAUUUCCAGUGUAGCAGUGAAAUGCGUAGAUAUUGGAAGGAACACCAGUGGCGUAAGCGGCUAUCUGGACGAGUAUUGACGCUGAGGCACGAAAGCGUGGGGAUUAAACAGGAUUAGAUACCCUAGUAGUCC